AUUUGAAAUCUGGCGCCCCUUGGGCGUCCGAGUUGUAAUUUGAAGAGGGUGCUUUGGCGUCGACGGCGGUCUAAGUCCCUUGGAACAGGGCAUCACAGAGGGUGAGAAUCCCGUAUGUGGCCGCAAGCCUUCGCCGUGUAAAGCCCCUUCGACGAGUCGAGUUGUUUGGGAAUGCAGCUCUAAAUGGGAGGUAAAUAUCUUCUAAAGCUAAAUACCGGCCAGAGACCGAUAGCGCACAAGUAGAGUGAUCGAAAGAUGAAAAGCACUUUGGAAAGAGAGUCAAACAGCACGUGAAAUUGUUGAAAGGGAAGCGCUUGCAGCCAGACUUGCUCGCAGUUGCUCAUCCGGGCUCUCGCCCGGUGCACUCUUCUGCGAGCAGGCCAGCAUCAGUUUGGGCAGCCGGAUAAAGACCUCUGUCACGUAUCUUCCUUCGGGAUGACCUUAUAGGGGAGGUGCAAUGCGGCUAGCCCGGACUGAGGUCCGCGCAUCUGCUAGGAUGCUGGCGUAAUGGCUGUAAGCGGCCCGUCUUGAAACACGGACCAAGGAGUCUAACAUCUAUGCGAGUGUUUGGGUGUCAAGCCCGGGCGCGCAAUGAAAGUGAACGGAGGUGGGAACCCUCUCGGGGGCGCACCAUCGACCGAUCCUGAUGUCUUCGGAUGGAUUUGAGUAAGAGCAUAGCUGUUGGGACCCGAAAGAUGGUGAACUAUGCUUGAAUAGGGUGAAGCCAGAGGAAACUCUGGUGGAGGCUCGCAGCGGUUCUGACGUGCAAAUCGAUCGUCAAAU
This 783-nucleotide ribosomal RNA is filed under the name Pseudomonodictys aquatica. Its description in RNAcentral is "Pseudomonodictys sp. DB-2022a partial large subunit ribosomal RNA". It matches the Rfam family "Eukaryotic large subunit ribosomal RNA", at positions 113 to 910 of the family's 3401-position model. Lineage: Eukaryota; Fungi; Ascomycota; Dothideomycetes; Pleosporales; Parabambusicolaceae. The record is from RNAcentral.